RNAcentral lists this transfer RNA (73 nucleotides) under Candidatus Micrarchaeum acidiphilum ARMAN-2. RNAcentral describes it as "tRNA-Gly". It matches the Rfam family "tRNA". From Rfam's summary of the family: Transfer RNA (tRNA) molecules are approximately 80 nucleotides in length. Their secondary structure includes four short double-helical elements and three loops (D, anti-codon, and T loops). RNAcentral also lists the same sequence under 2 other names. The record is from RNAcentral. Lineage: Archaea; Nanobdellati; Microcaldota; Candidatus Micrarchaeia; Candidatus Micrarchaeales; Candidatus Micrarchaeaceae.
GCGCCAGUAAUCUAGCCUGGUAGGAUAUCAGCUUCCCAAGCUGAAUGCCCGGGUUCAAAUCCCGGCUGGCGCA